RNAcentral lists this ribosomal RNA (440 nucleotides) under uncultured bacterium. RNAcentral describes it as "partial 16S ribosomal RNA". It matches the Rfam family "Bacterial small subunit ribosomal RNA", at positions 338 to 795 of the family's 1533-position model. The record is from RNAcentral.
CCUACGGGGUGCAGCAGUGGGGAAUAUUGGACAAUGGGGGGAACCCUGAACCAGCGACGCCGCGUGAGUGAAGAAGUAUUUCCGUAUGUAAAGCUCUAUCAGCAGGGAAGAAAAUGACGGUACCUGACUAAGCAGCCCCGGCUAACUACGUACCAGCAUCCGCGGUAAUACGUAGGGGGCAAGCGUUAUCCGGAUUUACUGGGUGUAAAGGGGGCGUAGACGGUGCAGCAAGUCUGAUGUGAAAGGUCGGGGCCCAACCCCGGGACUGCAUUGGAAACUGUUGAACUGGAGUACAGGAGAGGUAAGCGGAAUGCGUAGUGUAGCGGUGAAAUGCGUAGAUAUUAGGAGGAACACCAGUGGCGAAGGCGGCUUACUGGACUGUAACUGACGUUGAGGCUCGAAAGCGUGGGGAGCAAACAGGAUUAGAUACCCCUGUAGUC